RNAcentral lists this precursor RNA (1159 nucleotides) under Arabidopsis thaliana (thale cress). RNAcentral describes it as "partial precursor microRNA 162b". The stretch from base 285 to 392 matches the Rfam family "MIR162_1 microRNA precursor family". Lineage: Eukaryota; Viridiplantae; Streptophyta; Magnoliopsida; Brassicales; Brassicaceae. The record is from RNAcentral.
ACGGUAAAACGGUGAGUCAUCAGAUUCCUCUUUUUCAAAUUUCAUUGAUUCCAAUUGAAAAAUCUCCUCUCCUUCCACUUAUUUCUCACAUGCAUUCUCUCUAUAUAUAUGAGCAGCUCCUAGUUUUAUAACUCUGCAUCUAUCCACCUCUCUCUGUAAAUUUAUCUAAAUGUUUCUUUUAAUCUUUUUGAGAUUAAUAAUGAUUUGUGUUUGUUCAUCAACCGAUUUUCUCAGAUCUGUCAAUUAUUUUUGUUUAUUUAUUUAUGAUUUAUGAAUGAGGAAAGAGUGAAGUCGCUGGAGGCAGCGGUUCAUCGAUCAAUUCCUGUGAAUAUUUAUUUUUGUUUACAAAAGCAAGAAUCGAUCGAUAAACCUCUGCAUCCAGCGCUGCUUGCUCUUCAUGACUUUUGUUUAAUUGAUAUCUAUUUGAGUAUUGCUGAGAAGCAGGACAAUGGAUUCGAUAAAGUCUUCUCAGCUGCUGAAACUAAAUAUUUAAAAUUUAUCCCAAAUCUAAUUCAAAGUAUUCAUCUUUUAGCUGUUGAGAUAGUGAGGGAAAACAAAAUUCUUGUAUAUGAAAAAAGGAUAAAAUGAAAUUGUUUGUUUGUUAUUGUUUUGGGUAACAGAUCAAUUAUCAUAUGUGUUUUUGUUUGUAGUCAUGUCUUCAUAAUUGACUCAUAUUCUUAAAUCUUACAACUUCAGUUUUGUCUUAACUUUUUUUUUUAUUGAUCUGUUUUUUAACAAUGGUCCUGAAUUCUGAUGAUGCAGUUUUACUUUUGGUUUACAUGUAUGUAUCAAGGUUUGUGUUCCAUAUGGUCUUUCUUCAUCUAGCAUUUUUGUUUUUGUUUGUUGAGCCACUGAAUCCAACUUGUACUUCUUCAGCUUUGCAGAUUAGUAGAUCGGUUUUUUUCCUGGCUAUGUCUUUUGUCACUACAGACCCUCAACGCUAAUUUUGUUCCUGAGCAUGGCUAUGUUGUUAUGAGUUCCUGAUAUGAAAUUUGCUGUGAUCUCUUGGUUUCUUGAUGCAAUGUGUGCUUUUGCUUACUUCUCUGGCUCUUUUAAGUAUUACCUACAUAGACAUUGCAUAAUUCUAAAACCUUUGCUUUUGCAUUACUAUGUUCAUUCUUGGCAAGUGAUAAGGAAUCCACGUAGAAUAGUAUAAUAC